Molecule: long non-coding RNA, 3818 nt
Filed under: Homo sapiens (human)
Lineage: Eukaryota; Metazoa; Chordata; Mammalia; Primates; Hominidae
Description: HSALNT0392031
Source: RNAcentral
GGCCCCUGCGACUCCUGGUGCCCGGCUGGGACACGUGGGGCCGGCUUUGCGGAGUCAGCAGGGCCAAGGUGCGCGGGGUGCGCUCCCCCCCGGAACCCCGCCCCUUCUCACCCCAUCUCGCUUUUUUGGGAGAGGAGAGUGGAGCCGUCAGCACCCACUGGCAGUGUCGGUGCUGUGCUGGGAGUCCUCCCAGACCAGCCCACUCCUCCUGGUUUGAGCUUCCGAUCCAUCCCUACUCCUUUACGGUUCUUCUUCCCCGUAGUUAACCUGCGGAGAGGAGGAGGUACUGUCUCCGCACAAGGUACUGCGGAGGUACCUUGCGGAGGAACCUUGCGGAGGAGGUACUGCGGUGGGGAGGCAGGGGGGAGGCGCAUCUGCCUCCGCACAAGGGGUCUAAUGGCUUGCUUAUUCCUUCUAGGCCAGGUUGAAAGGUUUUUAAAAGCAGGUGGGGGUGCCAGGAUAGUGAGAAAAACAAGAAAAGACACUGCUUUUUACCCCAUGCGGGGCAGAGCUGGUCUCCUUUCUGCAGGUGUUGAGGGGAGUUGAGUAGGAGCCCAGAGCUGGUACAGGCCCCGUUUAACGUGCCCCCGCAGAGUGAGGGCUGGGGGUCACCCCAUAGGCAGGGGAGCCCUUCUGGGAGGGAAUUCCUGCUUAGGUGGGAGGUUGACCUGAAUGACAUCUAGGUCCUCUACCUCCCAGAUGCCGAAUUUUCAGGGAAGGAACCAAAUGGAUGUAUGGCCCAUGCCUGGGUUUGAAUCCCAGUUCUGGCCUUCAUUCCUCCAGGCCUCCAUUUCCUUGUCUGCACUAUGGGGCCAUGGUGAGAACUCUGAAAUAACACCAACUGCCUGGUGCUUGGUAGGUGCCACAUUACAAAAGCGGUGGGAAGGAGGCCCUUUGGUUUCCAUGUCGGUGGUCAUGUCCCACAGUCCCCGUUGCCAUCCUGAUUAUGGAAAACUUCAUUUCAUGCUCCAAAUGUUCCUCAAUUCCUGGCACUGUUCUAGGUCCUGCACCCAGGCUGGUAUGAAAAAGGUGCCGAGAAGGUCCCAUGCAUCACCAGCCUGGAGGUAGCAGCAGAAGGGAAACCAGUGCCUCUGAGAGUGGGCAACUGUGCCCCAUCCACCUCCUCUUCUUCUUGGAGAUCUCAAGAUAAGACAAGAGACAUCAACCUGGGAUUGGGUUUCUGGGCAGAGAGUAAAAGUGAGCUCCUUCUGCCUGUGCACGCAGCUUCCCUCGGUACUGGGAUAGCCGAGAUCCCUUACUAGAAGCAGCUCACAAAACCUCCCCCAGUUACUGGGAUAGCCCAGACACCUUCCUAGGGCAGCAGCGGAAGAAAGAAGGGGACAAAAUACCAACGACCAGAAAGAAGAAAGAACUUAGCCUCAGUCACCAGCCACUGGGAGCUGAUAGUAACUGAAGGGAUGGAAAGCCCUCUGGGACAGUUUUAGUGGGAGCCCUCCAGAGCCUGGAGAGACUGCAGGUGGAGCAGGAAGGUGGGGAAGAAUUAGAGCAGUGACCCCGGCCACUUUUGGCCUCACGGUUCUGCACAAUGAGACAUUGCUCAUCUUCAGAGAACCGUGCCAUUCUGGCCAUCUGGCAUCCUAGACAAUUUUCCACUGUCUCUCAGUAUCCAGCCAUCCAGCCAUCUAGCCUCCUAACUACUUCUCUGUGCUGGUCCAGCCCAGUGCUCAGAGUUAGGAUAUUUUUAUGAAUAAAACAGACCUAGCUUCUGCCCUCGUGGAGCUUACAGCGUGGGGCGAAAGGAGACUGAUCAAAAUGCCACACACAUGUAAUUUACAACCUUGGGAAGUGCCAAGAAGGGGAAGUGUUGGGUGCCACUGAGAACAUUCACAGAGGUUAACCUGGGGCUGAGGUGGAGGAAAGGUCAGAUGGAAGCUGUCUAACCACCCUGGGCUUCUGGCUUAGGAUGUGUAGGGCUAGCAGCUCAGCCCAUGAGGUUGUGUCUUGAACUUGGGUAUUGAUGGAAUAGCUAUAGAAACAGAACAACCAUGAAGUGAAGAUGGUGAAUGAAGAUCCUCUCAUCAGCUUGCGAUUGCAUGACAGAGGAGGCUGCAAGGACACUCAGGUGUGAAGACGGCUGUGCCACUGCAGGGCAUGCAGAAGGAAGAGAGCCUUCCAGAGGAAAGUCGCCUUGUUCCUUGCUUUGUGACCCUCAUCUCUGCGAGGUAGAGAAGAAAAGGAGGGCUCUUCCAUCGGGAGCUUCCAAGGUUCCGGGUGAGAGCUAGCCAGCUCUGCAUUUGGAGCAGAGAGAGACAGGAAUUUGGGACACUAGGUCACAAGUUGGUCUCUUCCUUUGUCAGCAGUCCAUUCAACAUGGCAAUGCCCACACCCACCUCACAAGGCAUGGAUGACACAAAGAGAUGGCUUGCCUGCAAGAGACCCAGCUGGUCUGGAGUUGGAGGCACACUUCAUUUCUCUGCCCAGCUCGGCAGGCGGCUGGAGCAAACCAGGAGAUCGCCUCAAAUGUUUUAAAUGUCAAUAUGGUCCCUUCUUGCUGGCUUGCCAAGAUUUGACCAGCUAAAUUGGCCUGUGUGGUGUGUUCCCUGCAGUGCACGAUGAGAUAAAAAUGACUGGGCAUCCAGAUUAAUGACUGGAUCACAUGCAGGAACGUACUGGCUGUGAGCAGCCCUGGGCCAGGGCAGAGGUGAACUUGACAAUCAUGUGGACGCUGGCUUUUGAUUACUGCUUCUUCUGGGCUCACGCUACCCAGGGCUCUCUUUAGACCAUCUCUAGGUGAACUUUCUGCCCCAGGAAUGAUCACCUCCAUUUUACUGGUGAGAGGUUCAAGGACUUCCCUUCCUUCUUUCCUCCCUUCCCCUUCUCUCCACUUCCUUCUCCUUCCCUCCUACAUCAUUUUUCCCUUUCCUUUCUUCCUCCCUUCCUUUAGCAAAUAGCCCUGGAGCAGCUGACCGGUUCUAGGAGCUGAGAACAGGGUGAUGGGUAAGAGGGACAAGGGCUUGCUCUCACGGUGUUUACAUUCUAGUGGGGGCAGGAGACAAGUCAACAGAUCAAUAAUUUCAGAUAAGAACAGCUGCUCUAAGAAGAACAACUGGGGAGUGAGAUGCAGUCCACUUUAGGCCGGUGGUUGGGGACGGCUUCUCUUGAGAGGUGGCAUUUAGGGGACUAAAUGGUAACAAUGAGCUGGCCUUGGGCAGGUCUGGGGGCAGAGCCAUCAGUGCCAGGGCACAGAGCUAGGAAAUGCAGAGCAGCUGGUACCCACGACUGGUCUUGCCUGAACCCCUAAUCCUUGCUCUUUCUGCCACAUCCUGCUUUCCCACUUGGCCAAAGAAUUGUGGUUGGCCAAAGGUGGGGCUAAGCUGUGCAGUGGGAGGGGCCAGGCUGAGCUGGAGGUGGCCAGGAGCCUCCUGGUACAGGGCCCUGGUGCCAGUGUCCUCACCCUCCCAGAAUCCUGUUCAUUUGUGUUGAGGACAUGGGGUGAAGGAUCUGAAAAUGCAUGCGCAGGCAGACGACCCACCCAGGCCAUUCACAGCCGCAGCAGUUUGGGACUCUCCGCUUGGCCCAGGUAGGGAGGCACUUGCGGUCCUUCCCAGGCCUGCCGUGAGGCUCCAGGGCCAGCGCCUAUCCCCAGCCCCAAGGAGGCACUCCGAAGAACCUAUUUUAAAUCUCAGCUCAGCAUUUUUGGCCAACUUACAGAGAAGCUGCAAGAUGAGUAAAGGAACUUGCCUAUAUUUUUUAUCUAGAUUUACCAGUUGUUGACAUUUGCCCAUCUGCUUUGUCAUUGGUGCUCUCUCUAUUCUGUGUGUGUGUGUGUGUGUGUGUGUGUGUGUGUGUGUGUGUGU